Molecule: RNase P RNA, 345 nt
Filed under: Pseudobacteroides cellulosolvens ATCC 35603 = DSM 2933
Lineage: Bacteria; Bacillati; Bacillota; Clostridia; Eubacteriales; Oscillospiraceae
Description: Bacteroides cellulosolvens ATCC 35603 Bacterial RNase P class A
Rfam family: Bacterial RNase P class A
About the family: Ribonuclease P (RNase P) is a ubiquitous endoribonuclease, found in archaea, bacteria and eukarya as well as chloroplasts and mitochondria. Its best characterised activity is the generation of mature 5'-ends of tRNAs by cleaving the 5'-leader elements of precursor-tRNAs.
Source: Rfam by way of RNAcentral
UGAGUAAGCCAGAUGAUCGCGUGUAAAGUGCCGAAAGGCCUUAUACGAGGAAAGUCCGGGCUCCAUAGGGCAGGGUGCCGGGUAACUCCCGGUGAAGGUGACUUCAAGGAAAGUGCAACAGAGAUAUACCGCCUCAUUUAUGAGGUAAGGGUGGAAAGGUGAGGUAAGAGCUCACCAGCGGCAUGGCGACUUGUCGGUCUAUGUAAACCCCAUCUGGAGCAACACCGCAGAGGGACGUUAAGGUUGCCCGCUAGUCCCGGGUAGGUGGCUUGAGCUAUACAGAAAUGUAUGGCCUAGAUAGAUGAUCAUCAAAUACAGAACCCGGCUUAUAGACUUACUCAUUCA